AUGAACGCUGGCGGCGUGCUUAACACAUGCAAGUCGAACGAAGCACUUAAGAUUGAUUCUUCGGAUGACGUCUUUUGUGACUUAGUGGCGGACGGGUGAGUAGCGCGUGGGUAACCUGCCUCACACAGGGGGAUAACAGUUAGAAAUGACUGCUAAUACCGCAUAACCCGAUAGGAUCGCAUGAUCCAGACGGAAAAGAUUUAUCGGUGUGAGAUGGACCCGCGUCUGAUUAGCUAGUUGGUGAGGUAACGGCCCACCAAGGCGACGAUCAGUAGCCGGCCUGAGAGGGUGAACGGCCACAUUGGGACUGAGACACGGCCCAAACUCCUACGGGAGGCAGCAGUGGGGAAUAUUGCACAAUGGGGGAAACCCUGAUGCAGCGACGCCGCGUGAGUGAAGAAGUAUUUCGGUAUGUAAAGCUCUAUCAGCAGGGAAGAAAAUGACGGUACCUGACUAAGAAGCCCCGGCUAACUACGUG
RNAcentral lists this ribosomal RNA (478 nucleotides) under uncultured bacterium. RNAcentral describes it as "partial 16S ribosomal RNA". It matches the Rfam family "Bacterial small subunit ribosomal RNA", at positions 29 to 507 of the family's 1533-position model. The record is from RNAcentral.